GACCACUAAGUUAAAAAGGGUAAAAAUCUCUUAUUUGAAUUGGCAAAGACCUAUAAAAAUCUCUUAUUUGAAUUGGCAAAGACAUAUAAUAAAAUUUGCUUAAAUUUGCUACUCCCAAAUUUCACUUCAACAUGGAUAUACACUUUGACAAUAGAUAUGAUCCUGAAAAAAAUAAAAAGGUUUUUUUCUCAUAAGAUAUCAAAGCCUUUCCAAUCAAUAACAUAUCAAAGUCUUUAUAAUAAUAACAAUAGUAUAUUUUAUGAGGAAUGUAUAAUAUUUUACUCACAAUAAUAUAUGUGCUCAAAGGAAACAUGUUAAUUUUGCUCCAUCAUCUUCUUAGUUACCAUCCUUUGAACUCAACCUGCAAUAUUAUACAGUGAGGGUGUCAAAAAAUAGCACUUAAUUUUGUAACACGGUAAUAUGAGGAAGACAAAUAAGCAAAAUUUCCCUAACAUGAGUUUGCAUUUGUAUAUUAUUAAGAUUGGAUAAAAGAAAACAUAUACAUACUUCAGUCAACUAUAUACAAAACAGAGCAAAGUGAUCUUUAAACUAUGAGAAUCUACUUUUUUAAAACUUUAGACCAUUACAAACUGAGCUAUAUACUAUUUAGAUUGUCAUGAAGCAUGAUAUAAUAUAUCUAAUAG
This 644-nucleotide long non-coding RNA is filed under the name Trifolium pratense (red clover). Its description in RNAcentral is "long non-coding RNA (TPRA_LNC005156)". Lineage: Eukaryota; Viridiplantae; Streptophyta; Magnoliopsida; Fabales; Fabaceae. The record is from RNAcentral.